Molecule: ribosomal RNA, 485 nt
Filed under: uncultured bacterium
Lineage: Bacteria
Description: partial 16S ribosomal RNA
Rfam family: Bacterial small subunit ribosomal RNA
Source: RNAcentral
AUUGAACGCUGGCGGCAUGCCUUACACAUGCAAGUCGAACGGCAGCACGGGUGCUUGCACCUGGUGGCGAGUGGCGAACGGGUGAGUAAUACAUCGGAACAUGUCCUGUAGUGGGGGAUAGCCCGGCGAAAGCCGGAUUAAUACCGCAUACGAUCUACGGAUGAAAGCGGGGGACCUUCGGCCCUCGCCCUAUGGGUUGGGCGAUGGCUGAUUAGCUAGUUGGUGGGGUAAAGGCCUACCAAGGCGACGAUCAGUAGCUGGUCUGAGAGGACGACCAGCCACACUGGGACUGAGACACGGCCCAGACUCCUACGGGAGGCAGCAGUGGGGAAUUUUGGACAAUGGGCGAAAGCCUGAUCCAGCAAUGCCGCGUGUGUGAAGAAGGCCUUCGGGUUGUAAAGCACUUUUGUCCGGAAAGAAAUCCUUGGCCCUAAUACGGUCGGGGGAUGACGGUACCGGAAGAAUAAGCACCGGCUAACUACGUG